This 210-nucleotide ribosomal RNA is filed under the name uncultured bacterium. RNAcentral's name for it is "partial 16S ribosomal RNA". It matches the Rfam family "Bacterial small subunit ribosomal RNA", at positions 568 to 776 of the family's 1533-position model. The record is from RNAcentral.
UACGCAGGCGGCUCGUUAAGUCGGGUGUGAAAGCCCGGGGCUCAACCCCGGAAUUGCGCUCGAUACUGGCGGGCUUGAGUACGGGAGAGGGAUAGCGGAAUUCCUGGUGUAGAGGUGAAAUUCGUAGAUAUCAGGAGGAACACCAGUGGCGAAAGCGGCUUCCUGGCCCGAUACUGACGCUCAUGUACGAAAGCGUGGGGAGGCAAAACA